AUUAGAAGAUGGGUGUCUGCUCAACCUAGAUGAGGCUCAACAAUAUCUCAGAGGGGAAUCCAUAUGUCAUCAUUUCUGGCCAGUGACCUCUGAGUGGAAGUCUGAGAAGAAGUUUCUGGGAAGAAGAGUCCUGUUAUGUCCUCACUCUGUUGUUUCCUGUGAAGGAUACUGGUGGGCAGAAGGGAAGACUAGAUUGAGGCAUCCA
This 205-nucleotide long non-coding RNA is filed under the name Homo sapiens (human). RNAcentral describes it as "non-protein coding lnc-ARRDC4-4:2". The record is from RNAcentral. Lineage: Eukaryota; Metazoa; Chordata; Mammalia; Primates; Hominidae.